GACGAACGCUGGCGGCGUGCUUAACACAUGCAAGUCGAACGGAAAGGCCCUGCUUUUGUGGGGUGCUCGAGUGGCGAACGGGUGAGUAACACGUGAGUAACCUGCCCUUGACUUUGGGAUAACUUCAGGAAACUGGGGCUAAUACCGGAUAGGAGCUCCUGCUGCAUGGUGGGGGUUGGAAAGUUUCGGCGGUGGGGGAUGGACUCGCGGCUUAUCAGCUUGUUGGUGGGGUAGUGGCUUACCAAGGCUUUGACGGGUAGCCGGCCUGGGAGGGUGACCGGCCACAUUGGGACUGAGAUACGGCCCAGACUGCUACGGGAGGCAGCAGUGGGGAAUAUUGCACAAUGGGCGGAAGCCUGAGGCAGCAACGCCGCGUGCGGGAUGACGGCCUUCGGGUUGUAAACCGCUUUCGCCUGUGACGAAGCGUGAGUGACGGUAAUGGGUAAAGAAGCACCGGCUAACUACGUG
Molecule: ribosomal RNA, 468 nt
Filed under: uncultured bacterium
Lineage: Bacteria
Description: partial 16S ribosomal RNA
Rfam family: Bacterial small subunit ribosomal RNA
Source: RNAcentral